Phyllopteryx taeniolatus (common seadragon) is the source of this 1403-nucleotide long non-coding RNA. RefSeq lists it as uncharacterized. The record is from RefSeq and is a predicted model, not a curated record. NCBI's taxonomy places the organism in Eukaryota, Metazoa, Chordata, Actinopteri, Syngnathiformes, Syngnathidae. The transcript has 6 exons.
CUACACUGCAGCCUUUGCCACAUCGGCGAAUCGUCGUGUGUCACAAAGGAAGAAAGGAAGGAGGGAAGGUCAAUUGUUUGUCAUUUCCUUGAAAUGCGAUGGAUUCAACUUACAAGUGCUAUCGUUCCGCGCGGAGGAAGGUGUUGUGUUGAAAGUGCGACGUACAGCUCGUGGGUGCAGUUGGCGGGUUUGUCCAUGCGGUGUCCCUCCUUGAGCAGCUUGAAGAGUUCCUCCACGGGGAUGCCCGGGUAUGGCGAACCCCCCAGCGUGAAGAUCUCCCACAGUAACACGCCGACGUUCCUGGCCGCCAGGUCUCGGUGGAUGCACUGCAAUGGGAAGGAAGUUACCAGACGCGUCAGACCUACUGCAUGGCGACAGUACGGAAAACACAACUUUGUUUUCUCGUGACAUCGCAACUUUCUUUUCCACGUUUCCCGACCCGAUCAGCUGUUUUAAAAGACGUCGCACUCGGAAGCGGUGACAGCCCUGACGAAGGGUGGACUGACAAGCGAAACUGUCAGCAAUGUGAAGCUGCUGUUUGCUACUUUUGCCGACGGCCAAAGUGUGUUUGAAGUCCGCACACGACUGACCUUCUGCGAGGCGAGGUACUCCAUGCCUCUGGCCACCUGGUAGGCGCAGGACACCAAGUCUUUGAAGGUCAGCUGCUCGUCUGGGAUUUUGCAGGUAUCAAAGGAGUAGUCCAUGCCCGGCGGCCGACGUGCCCUCAGGUACUCCCUUAGGUUGCCUUUGGAGGCGUACUCCACCAGAACGUAGAGCGGACCUGCGGGACUGUGUGGUUACUUCCAGGUCGGACAAAUCUUUAUCUGUCGCGUCAUCUGAGACAAGAGAUGGAGAAGGAGGACGCGUCAGGGAAGCGAAGCGCUUAGAAAGCGUCUUCGAAGUACAGGCAAGUAGUCAGGUGACUGCAUUUUUUUUUCCACACGCUUGGGAGUUUACGACUUCUUUCUUCAUAAUUUGACAUUUAUUUUCGUAAGGUUACAAUUACAUUUUAGAUUUUUUUGCUUGUAUCGUGACUUUACAACUUUUUUUAACGGAAGUUAUGACGUUCCUGUAAAGUUAUUAUUAUUAUUAUUAUCCUAUUAUUUCUUGUGACUUCACUAGGUUUAUCUUGUCAACUUUUUUUCCAUGACAUUACUUUUUCCUCUUGACUUUACAAAUGUAUCUUUAUCUUUUUUUCUUGUACCAUGACUACUUUUGUUCUCAUAAUUUUACAUUAUUAUUAUUAUAUAAGAUUACAACUUGUUUGGGGGCAGUAUUAAAACAUUUCUCCAUAAUUGUACAACAUAUGUCUUGUAAUUUUACAUGACAAUGUACCCAAGAUUCAAAAGCAAAAUCCAAAACAAAUCUGUUGAAAGAUCACAAUGAAAAAAACCCCAAAAAGC